Long non-coding RNA from Choloepus didactylus (southern two-toed sloth), 1699 nucleotides. RefSeq lists it as uncharacterized. The record is from RefSeq and is a predicted model, not a curated record. The transcript has 5 exons. NCBI's taxonomy places the organism in Eukaryota, Metazoa, Chordata, Mammalia, Pilosa, Megalonychidae.
CGGCUUAGAGGACCGCGGGGAAGGCGGGUGGCGGGUUCGGGGCGUGAAGCGGCGGGAGUGGCGCUGGCGGCGGCAACUGAGGCCGUGGCCGAAGCCGUGCGCAUUAAUAAUAAGCUACAGCAGCCAGAGUCAUCUGCUGGGGUGUCAGAAUAUGCCAUGAAGCACUCUGGAGAACUGUGGCUGUGAUAAAGGACAACUGACAGGCUGAUGCAGGUAGAAGUAAUCAGGCAAGCCUGGGUGAAAAGAAGAGUGGAAAAAACCCCACCGCCACAUGCGCUGUCGUCCUCCUGCUGAUCCUCAUUCAUGGAGAAAGAGAGACCUAAGGAAGAAAAAUGGACUUAAAUCAAAGCAGGAGAGAAUGCGAUGCGCAAUGAAGAACUUACCGAGACUGAGUGAAAUGUAGGGGAUCAAUCCCAGGACCAGGCCUGGCACGUCCGAGUUUUCAUCUCUCCCAUAUUCCUUUAGAAUGGAGUUUGGAAAUUCUUCUGACGCUGCCCUGCUUGCUGACAGAGUGGAGCCUGUGGCUGGCAGGGUCAUAAUCUAACAGACAAAAAACAGUGGAAAUACACAAAGUCACAGUCCUCCUGUCUCAGCCCAGACACUGUGCAGGCAAGAAAAGAGAGACUCGCCCCUGUAUCCCUCCCCACCUCCCCUGCUCUGGCCUAAGAUGACGCUGACUUCACCCAGCAGGCACCUGACCCUCCCCGAGGAGCUGGGAGGGCCUGAAGCACAGUGCAUGGCCCUGGUGGGGAUGGAGGUUAAGGAAGCAAACAACAUUUAAGAUGCUCAGUUUGCAGAGCAUUCAGGCUUGGGAAGGAGGGCUCUGAGAUACCCAAUGAAGCUCCACUUUCAGAAACUCUGACAGCUCUGAGGAGGACUAAGAAAGAGCAGGGAAAGGAAGAAAACAAGGAAGUGGUGAGACCAUCAGGAGCAAAGGUAAAAGGUGAUACUUUGCUGCUGUUCCGCAAACAACAACUGGCAAAUCCAGAUUUCCCUUAAAGGAAGAUCCUUCCUCAGCAAGGCCUAAGGAGGAUGCUGAAAAAGACUCUCAGCCGUGACCUGGCUCUGGGUUAUCAUUGCGGCCUUUGCCAGUCACCCAGUGUGGCCACAGAAGCUCCCUCAGCACAAGACACCCACACAGCUCAAUGUAGCAACCUGCUGUGAGGAGAUGAAGGAGCUCAAGGCCCAAACUGCCAACCUAAGGAGUCUGCUGAGUGAACUGAGCCAGGAGAAGGAGAGAGACUGAGAAGUGAGGGAGUACAGAAAGAGAGACUAAUCAAGGUCACAUGACAAAUCAAGAGAAAGUCUGAUCUAGGACUCGUGCUUUCUGAUUUCCAGGUUGCUGUGGAACAGGAGUAAACUAGACCCAGAGCUAUGAUAAAAGAUGCCUGGCUAUGGGCAUGCAGAGGGAGAAGAGAUACAGGGCUGGGUCUUCUCUGUGAGAUGAAAUGAAGCCCUGGGCGGUUUCUCUAAGGCUCUGACUUCCUGACAGGACUGGGAGGGCAACGUGCGCUAUGCUGAGUACAGCCACUUUGUUCUGGGCGAUGAAAUGAGCAGCUACCGCCUCUUCCUGGGGCACUACAGUGGCAGUGUGGAGAAUGACGCCCUCCUCUGUAACAACACGGCCUUCAGCACCAAGGACAAGGACAACUGCGGGGGAGGGGAAUGUGUGGAGAUCCUUAAAGGCAAAAUGCGUGGG